This is a long non-coding RNA of Pangasianodon hypophthalmus (striped catfish), 784 nucleotides long. RefSeq lists it as uncharacterized. The record is from RefSeq and is a predicted model, not a curated record. Lineage: Eukaryota; Metazoa; Chordata; Actinopteri; Siluriformes; Pangasiidae. The transcript has 4 exons.
GUCUACCCUGGGUUUUCUCCUGUGAGUCGGAGCCUGUAGAGGUCUGUGCCUUGAUUGUAAAGGGUGCAGUUGUUGGAGUCCUGCUCCAGGAGUUUGUUGCUGCUUGUUUGCGCUUAUAGUGCGUAUAUCUCAUCUGUGAGUGUUGUAAGCCUGAGGCUGUGUUGCAUCGGUUCCUGCGUUCCGGAGUUGGGGGACGCCGGCAGGGAGGCUUGGCACCGGGUGGCUGGGUACCUGUGUUUGUGUGUGUUUCACCUUUCUGGCAGUGUAGUGUCACCUGGGUGUGCUGUGCAGUGUAUGUGUGCGCUUCACGUGUGGUCUUUUUGGACCCUCCUUCCAGAUCGCCUCCCUGUGAAUCUUCUCCACACUCUGGAGCCAAGGUUGAAGGAAUGAGAGUGGCGGGAAGAAAACAAGCUGCUGUAGAGAGAAGGACGUUUGGCUGGAAAGGAGAUUAAUUAAAUGGGCAGAUUACAAGCCUAAUGAUAGCCUCCUUCACUUGCAUCAACACCUCUUUGGACCACGUAUUGAGAGUUCCCAUGAACAGCUACCAAAUGGAAAUUCAACACUUGGAAUCAAUUCCAGACUUUUAUCUCCUUCGUUUAUCAUGAAAUAAUGAGGAAACAAGCCACACUUGUCUAUGAAACUGCUCAUCAGGCAAUUGUCCAAUUACUAUUGAGCCUGUAAAAAUGGAGGUCCUAUGUAAAAAAAAAUGUAUGUAAUUCCUAAAUGGUUAUUGCAAUAUUUCUGUUAAACCCCUUGAAUUAAAACCUGAAAGUCUACACUUCAA